CACGUAGGGGGCAAGCGUUGUCCGGAUUCAUUGGGCGUAAAGAGCUCGUAGGCGGUUCGAUAAGUCGGGUGUGAAACCUCCAGGCUCAACCUGGAGACGCCACCCGAUACUGUCGUGACUAGAGUCCAGUAGGGGAGCGUGGAAUUCCUGGUGUAGCGGUGAAAUGCGCAGAUAUCAGGAGGAACACCAGCGGCGAAGGCGGCGCUCUGGGCUGGCACUGACGCUCAUGCACGAAAGCGUGGGGAGCAAACAGG
RNAcentral lists this ribosomal RNA (254 nucleotides) under uncultured bacterium. RNAcentral's name for it is "partial 16S ribosomal RNA". It matches the Rfam family "Bacterial small subunit ribosomal RNA", at positions 524 to 776 of the family's 1533-position model. The record is from RNAcentral.